RNAcentral lists this ribosomal RNA (253 nucleotides) under uncultured bacterium. RNAcentral's name for it is "partial 16S ribosomal RNA". It matches the Rfam family "Bacterial small subunit ribosomal RNA", at positions 524 to 776 of the family's 1533-position model. The record is from RNAcentral.
UACGUAGGGGGCAAGCGUUGUCCGGAAUCAUUGGGCGUAAAGGGCGCGUAGGUGGCGCGGUAAGCGUGCGGUGAAAGCCUGGGGCUCAACCCCGGGUCGGCCGUGCGAACUGCUGGGCUUGAGCACUGUAGAGGCAGGCGGAAUUCCGGGUGUAGCGGUGGAAUGCGUAGAGAUCCGGAAGAACACCGGUGGCGAAGGCGGCCUGCUGGGCAGUUGCUGACACUGAGGCGCGACAGCGUGGGGAGCAAACAGG